RNAcentral lists this non-coding RNA (65 nucleotides) under Bacillus cereus biovar anthracis str. CI. Lineage: Bacteria; Bacillati; Bacillota; Bacilli; Caryophanales; Bacillaceae. The record is from RNAcentral.
UAUUAUAUUAAACGUACAAUCUUUUAAUUUACACAUGUGUACAUUUACACAUGUGUAAAUGUACA